GGCUGCAACUCGCCUACACGAAGCUGGAAUCGCUAGUAAUCGCGGAUCAGCACGCCGCGGUGAAUACGUUCCCGGGCCUUGUACACACCGCCCGUCACACCAUGAGAGUCUGUAACACCCAAAGCCGGUGGGAUAACCUUUAUAGGAGUCAGCCGUCUAAGGUAGGACAGAUGAUUAGGGUGAAGUCGUAACAAGGUAUC
Molecule: ribosomal RNA, 200 nt
Filed under: uncultured bacterium
Lineage: Bacteria
Description: partial 16S ribosomal RNA
Rfam family: Bacterial small subunit ribosomal RNA
Source: RNAcentral